Molecule: transfer RNA, 66 nt
Filed under: Marmota monax (woodchuck)
Lineage: Eukaryota; Metazoa; Chordata; Mammalia; Rodentia; Sciuridae
Description: tRNA.Gly
Source: RNAcentral
GCUGGGGCUCAGUGGUAGACUGCUCGCCUUCCAUGUGUGAGGUCCUGGGUUUGAUCCUCAGCAUCA